This 505-nucleotide ribosomal RNA is filed under the name uncultured bacterium. Its description in RNAcentral is "partial 16S ribosomal RNA". It matches the Rfam family "Bacterial small subunit ribosomal RNA", at positions 28 to 507 of the family's 1533-position model. The record is from RNAcentral.
GACGAACGCUGGCGGCGUGCCUAAUACAUGCAAGUAGAACGCACAGUUUAUACCGUAGCUUGCUACACCAUAAACUGUGAGUUGCGAACGGGUGAGUAACGCGUAGGUAACCUGCCUGGUAGCGGGGGAUAACUAUUGGAAACGAUAGCUAAUACCGCAUAAUAUUAAUUAUUGCAUGAUAAUUGAUUGAAAGAUGCAAUUGCAUCACUACCAGAUGGACCUGCGUUGUAUUAGCCAGUAGGUGAGGUAACGGCUCACCUAGGCGACGAUACAUAGCCGACCUGAGAGGGUGAUCGGCCACACUGGGACUGAGACACGGCCCAGACUCCUACGGGAGGCAGCAGUAGGGAAUCUUCGGCAAUGGACGAAAGUCUGACCGAGCAACGCCGCGUGAGUGAAGAAGGUUUUCGGAUCGUAAAGCUCUGUUGUAAGAGAAGAACGGGUGUGAGAGUGGAAAGUUCACACUGUGACGGUAUCUUACCAGAAAGGGACGGCUAACUACGUG